UGGUGGGUAGUUUGACUGGGGCGGUCUCCUCCUAAAGAGUAACGGAGGAGCACGAAGGUUGGCUAAUCCUGGUCGGACAUCAGGAGGUUAGUGCAAUGGCAUAAGCCAGCUUGACUGCGAGCGUGACGGCGCGAGCAGGUGCGAAAGCAGGUCAUAGUGAUCCGGUGGUUCUGAAUGGAAGGGCCAUCGCUCAACGGAUAAAAGGUACUCCGGGGAUAACAGGCUGAUACCGCCCAAGAGUUCAUAUCGACGGCGGUGUUUGGCACCUCGAUGUCGGCUCAUCACAUCCUGGGGCUGAAGUAGGUCCCAAGGGUAUGGCUGUUCGCCAUUUAAAGUGGUACGCGAGCUGGGUUUAGAACGUCGUGAGACAGUUCGGUCCCUAUCUGCCGUGGGCGCUGGAGAACUGAGGGGGGCUGCUCCUAGUACGAGAGGACCGGAGUGGACGCAUCACUGGUGUUCGGGUUGUCAUGCCAAUGGCACUGCCCGGUAGCUAAAUGCGGAAGAGAUAAGUGCUGAAAGCAUCUAAGCACGAAACUUGCCCCGAGAUGAGUUCUCCCUGAGACUUUAGGUCUCCUGAAGGAACGUUGAAGACGACGACGUUGAUAGGCCGGGUGUGUAAGCGCAGCGAUGCGUUGAGCUAACCGGUACUA
This 650-nucleotide ribosomal RNA is filed under the name Salmonella enterica subsp. enterica serovar Typhimurium. RNAcentral describes it as "partial 23S ribosomal RNA". It matches the Rfam family "Bacterial large subunit ribosomal RNA", at positions 2259 to 2903 of the family's 2925-position model. Lineage: Bacteria; Pseudomonadati; Pseudomonadota; Gammaproteobacteria; Enterobacterales; Enterobacteriaceae. RNAcentral also lists the same sequence under 1 other name. The record is from RNAcentral.